Molecule: ribosomal RNA, 447 nt
Filed under: uncultured bacterium
Lineage: Bacteria
Description: partial 16S ribosomal RNA
Rfam family: Bacterial small subunit ribosomal RNA
Source: RNAcentral
AACGAACGCUGGCGGCAGGCUUAACACAUGCAAGUCGAGCGCGUGGCAACACGAGCGGCAGACGGGUGAGUAACACGUGGGAACAUACCCUUUUCUACGGAAUAACGCAGGGAAACUUGUGCUAAUACCGUAUACGCCCUUAGGGGGAAAGAUUUAUCGGAGAAGGAUUGGCCCGCGUUGGAUUAGCUGGUUGGUGGGGUAAAGGCCUACCAAGGCGACGAUCCAUAGCUGGUCUGAGAGGAUGAUCAGCCACAUUGGGACUGAGACACGGCCCAAACUCCUACGGGAGGCAGCAGUGGGGAAUAUUGGACAAUGGGCGCAAGCCUGAUCCAGCCAUGCCGCGUGAGUGAUGAAGGCCUUAGGGUUGUAAAGCUCUUUCACCGGAGAAGAUAAUGACGGUAUCCGGAGAAGAAGCCCCGGCUAACUUCGUGCCAGCCGCCGCUGUAA